CCCCUAGAUGUUCUGGGCCGCACGCGCGCUACACUGAACAGUUCAACAAGUCUUAACCUUGGCCGAUAGGUCUGGGUAAUCUUUGAACGCUGUUCGUGAUUGGGAUAGACCUUUGCAAUUAUGGGUCUUCAACGAGGAAUUCCUAGUAAACGCAAGUCAUCAGCUUGCAUUGAUUACGUCCCUGCCCUUUGUACACGCCGCCCGUCGCACCUACCGAUUGAAUGGUCCGGUGAAAUCUCGGGACGGCGGCUUGGUCGCUUGCGUCCGACUGCUGAAACUUGAUUAAACCAUAUCAUUUAGAGGAAGGUGAANUCGUAACA
RNAcentral lists this ribosomal RNA (320 nucleotides) under uncultured eukaryote. RNAcentral's name for it is "partial 18S ribosomal RNA". It matches the Rfam family "Eukaryotic small subunit ribosomal RNA", at positions 1470 to 1796 of the family's 1831-position model. The record is from RNAcentral.